Molecule: ribosomal RNA, 482 nt
Filed under: uncultured bacterium
Lineage: Bacteria
Description: bacterial SSU rRNA
Rfam family: Bacterial small subunit ribosomal RNA
Source: RNAcentral
CGUGCCUAAUACAUGCAAGUCGAACGAGGGUGCUUGCACCCUAGUGGCGAACGGGUGAGUAACACGUAGGUAACCUGCCCUUAAGCUUGGGAUACCCAGAGGAAACUUUGGCUAAUACCGGAUAACAACAGAAGAGGCAUCUCUUCAGUUUGAAAGGCCCUUUACGGGGUCACUUAAGGAUGGACCUGCGGCGCAUUAGCUAGUUGGUGAGAUAACAGCCCACCAAGGCGAGGAUGCGUAGCCGACCUGAGAGGGUGAUCGGCCACAUUGGAACUGAGACACGGUCCAAACUCCUACGGGAGGCAGCAGUAAGGAGUUUUCGGCAAUGGGGGAAACCCUGACCGAGCAACGCCGCGUGAGUGAAUGACGGCCCUAUGGGUUGUAAAGCUCUGUUGUAAGGGACGAAUGAUUCGCUUAGGAAAUGAAGCGGAUUUGACGGUACCUUACCAGAAAGCCACGGCUAACUACGUGCCAGCCGCCGC